Long non-coding RNA from Ornithorhynchus anatinus (platypus), 1265 nucleotides. RefSeq lists it as uncharacterized. Lineage: Eukaryota; Metazoa; Chordata; Mammalia; Monotremata; Ornithorhynchidae. The record is from RefSeq and is a predicted model, not a curated record. The transcript has 4 exons.
GCCAAGUUUUGGAACGAAAGAAAGGGUGUGUUUUCGUGGGAACUGGGAAGUUUUGAUCCCUGUCCUGAGAAAUUUCAGGCUUAUUUCAUUUCAUGUGCACCAACCCAUAGGAUCUCAUUCCUGCUGCCGCUCUCUUUGAGAUUGUUCCUGCCCUGCCCACAGUGCUUCCGGCCACCAUUUUCCAAGUUGAAAAUCAAGAGUUUUGGCUCGGCGAACGCUUCGUCUUAAGACCUGGAAUCUGCAAAUCUUCAGAAUAGGCUUUCUAGAAUCGCUCCUGAAAAACAGUACUGAGAAGAUAUGCAUUUUUGGAUCAUUUAUUUGGCCCAUCAUUAAUAAAAUGUACAUAAAGUCAAAAUGCAGUCCUGUUUAGCAAGAAGGAAUCUCUUCAAUCCCCAUAACUUUUUAUGUCAGAAUUCAGGAAAAAGAACAUAGGUUGCGAGUGAUGUAAAAGAUGUGAUGAGAGAAAAUCAGCACUAGUAUACAUCAUUAUAGCAAUUUUAACACGGGAAAACAAACCACUCCAGACAGUUGAUGAAUGGCUUCAAUUGCUUUUAUCUCAUUCAGCUCUGAUUUUAUUGAUGGUUGGCUGUGUGUAUCCCUUUAAUCCAAACUAAGGUUUAAUGGCCUUUCUCUCUCCUCUCCCUUUCAGGACUUUUAUAUUCUCCAGUGCUUUGAGGAUCUGACUGAUUUCCUAGCUGUAUUCUCAUUACUCCACUGAUAGUAUCAAGUGUUUCCUAAAUUCCCAAGCUGUAUCUGUUGACCCAGCUCUCUGUAAAUACUGACUUUAUUUCUGAUUGUAGGGUAUAUGUGGAGGGAAAGAGUCGGGGGUCAGGAGUCAGAGGAUCUGGGGUCUACUCCCAGUUCUGUCACAUGGUUUUGCUUUGCAUAAGGCCUAAUAUUUCCAUUUCGACCCUUUCCAACCAAACCACCUUGCGUCACCGAGGUCCCUUUUGAAACUAACUUUCAGUCACACCCUUCCCAUGAAGAAAGCAGGUAAUAGUACACCAAACUUCACAUAAAUAAUAGAUGGAAUGUAGAUUGCAUUUCUAAUUUGGUGGGAGGCAGAGAGCUGUCAAACAGGAGUCUGUGCAAUAAGAAAUGGACUGGAAUAACUAUCUGUACAUAGCGAUCUUGAUAGAAGUACUCAGUGCGGCAAAACUUUCUUUUAUGUUUGGCACACAGAGACAAAUUAGAUGCUUUAUCUGUCACAGUUGCCUAUUUGAUAUCUGAAUGAGUUAUAUAACUUAAAACAAAUAAAGGAAAGA